RNAcentral lists this unclassified non-coding RNA (301 nucleotides) under Hevea brasiliensis (rubber tree). The record is from RNAcentral. Lineage: Eukaryota; Viridiplantae; Streptophyta; Magnoliopsida; Malpighiales; Euphorbiaceae.
CCCAAAUAUUGACAAUGACGAUGGGCUGGAGACAGUUCUUGAGGUUCCAAUUCCAGAAGAAAUGUUCACAAGCAUGGGCAGCAAUGUGAACUUGCGUUGGCAAAAUAUGCUUACAUGGAUGAAAGCUCAAACAUCUGACAAGUGGUCACAACCAGUCAUUGCUGGACGCAUCAACGAGCUUCGAUUUCUUCUUUACAUGGUUGGAUCUCCUCUUAUCCCUCUCCAGGUUCAAGUUGGCCAUUCUGUUCACAGACCUGUCAAAGAUUGUUCCAUUGUAAGCAAAUAUAUAAUGAACUUUAAU